RNAcentral lists this ribosomal RNA (254 nucleotides) under uncultured bacterium. Its description in RNAcentral is "partial 16S ribosomal RNA". It matches the Rfam family "Bacterial small subunit ribosomal RNA", at positions 524 to 776 of the family's 1533-position model. The record is from RNAcentral.
UACGGGGGGGGCAAGCGUUGUUCGGAAUUACUGGGCGUAAAGGGCCAGUAGGCGGCCAACUAAGUCCGACGUGAAAUCCCCAGGCUUAACCUGGGAACUGCGUCGGAUACUGGAUGGCUUGAAUUCGGGAGAGGGAUGCAGAAUUCCAGGUGUAGCGGUGAAAUGCGCAGAUAUCAGGAAGAACACCCGUGGCGAAGGCGGUUCUCUGGGACGGUACUGACGCUGGAGACGCGAAAGCGUGGGGAGCGAACAGG